RNAcentral lists this unclassified non-coding RNA (238 nucleotides) under uncultured Dioszegia. Its description in RNAcentral is "sequence contains 5.8S rRNA gene". The stretch from base 1 to 53 matches the Rfam family "5.8S ribosomal RNA", at positions 102 to 154 of the family's 154-position model. Lineage: Eukaryota; Fungi; Basidiomycota; Tremellomycetes; Tremellales; Bulleribasidiaceae. The record is from RNAcentral.
GAACGCAGAUUGCGCCUUUUGGUAUUCCGAAAGGCAUGCCUGUUUGAGUGUCUUAUAAACCUCACCUCUACUGUUUUUCAUUAGACAUGUAGACUGGUGCUUUGGGUGUUGCCGUUUACUCUGGCUCGCCUUAAAUGUCUAAGUGGAAUGCGUAAUAAGUUCUUUCGCAACCCUCCACUCUAAUAACACACUUUAUACUCUGACCUCAAAUCAGGUAGGACUACCCGCUGAACUUAAG